Molecule: small nuclear RNA, 104 nt
Organism: Tursiops truncatus (common bottlenose dolphin)
Lineage: Eukaryota; Metazoa; Chordata; Mammalia; Artiodactyla; Delphinidae
Source: Ensembl
ACACUAGUUUCGGCAGCACAUAUACGAAAACUGACACAGUACAAAGAUUAGCACGGCCUCUGCCCAAGGAUGAUGGGCAAAUUCAUGAAGCAUCCCAUAUUUUU